UACGGAGGGUGCUAGCGUUGUUCGGAAUUACUGGGCGUAAAGCGUGCGUAGGUGGUUCGUUAAGUCUGAUGUGAAAGCCCUGGGCUCAACCUGGGAAUGGCAUUGGAUACUGGCGACCUAGAGUGCGGUAGAGGGGUGUGGAAUUCCCGGUGUAGCAGUGAAAUGCGUAGAUAUCUGGAGGAACACCGGUGGCGAAGGCGGCGUCCUGGACCAACACUGACACUGAUGAGCGAAAGCCAGGGGAGCAAACGGG
This 253-nucleotide ribosomal RNA is filed under the name uncultured bacterium. RNAcentral describes it as "partial 16S ribosomal RNA". It matches the Rfam family "Bacterial small subunit ribosomal RNA", at positions 524 to 776 of the family's 1533-position model. The record is from RNAcentral.